RNAcentral lists this long non-coding RNA (704 nucleotides) under Homo sapiens (human). RNAcentral describes it as "RASGRF2 antisense RNA 1". The record is from RNAcentral. Lineage: Eukaryota; Metazoa; Chordata; Mammalia; Primates; Hominidae.
UUGCCCAAGGUCACACAACUGGGAGUGAAAGCCCUUGAAUUCACAUCUUGUCACUGUCACUGCCUGUCCAAAUGGUCACAAAUUGAGGCUAUCUGGCUGGUAAGAAGUCCCUUUAUCCUGCUAUAAUUUUCUUGGUGGCUCUGUGUCAUUAUGCUGAACUCAGUUUCCCCUCAAGCAGGUGAAACUGCAGAUGGCAUAGGGCACAUAGCUGCAGACCUUGCUCAGACUGGACUCUGAAAGAUUUGGAACCUUAGGCAGAGAGGUGGAAAGGAGUUGGGGAGGCAGUGGCAAUGAUUUGAAAACUAUAACCAAUUUUCUCUCUCCUAGGAGUUGGAGACUUGGAAUCCCCUUUGGUGCAGAAACUAUUCCUUCAUGAGAAGAAGUCCUUAAAUAGGCUCUUUAGACAGGAGGCCACAUGUUGAAGGCAGCAGGGUCACAAGAUGGAAGAACCAGGGUCCCAGUAUCAUCGCUCCCUGCUUCAAGCUGCCAGGGGCAGCCUAACCCACAUGGCAUUAUGACAUAAGAAACAAAGUAACUAUUGUUUUAUUAAAUCAAUGAGAUAUUGGGCUUCUUGUUAUAGCAACUAGUAUAAAUUGCCCUGACUGAUACAUUAUGGAUUUAGAGUGCACUGUACUACAACUGUUUGUUGUAUUUUCAAAAUUGUGGUAUAACUGACUUACAAUAAACUUCAUAUAUUUAAAGAG